RNAcentral lists this ribosomal RNA (442 nucleotides) under uncultured bacterium. Its description in RNAcentral is "partial 16S ribosomal RNA". It matches the Rfam family "Bacterial small subunit ribosomal RNA", at positions 338 to 795 of the family's 1533-position model. The record is from RNAcentral.
CCUACGGGAGGCAGCAGUGGGGAAUAUUGGGCAAUGGGCGCAAGCCUGACCCAGCAACGCCGCGUGAAGGAAGAAGGCUUUCGGGUUGUAAACUUCUUUUCUGGGGGACGAACAAAUGACGGUACCCCAGGAAUAUGCCACGGCUAACUACGUGCCAGCAGCCGCGGUAAUACGUAGGUGGCAAGCUUUAUCCGGAUUUAUUGGGUGUAAAGGGCGUGGAGGCGGGAAUGCAAGUCAGAUGGGAAAACUCAGGGCACAACCCUGAGCCUGCAUUUGAAACUGUGUUUCUUGAGUGCUGGAGAGGCAAUCGGAAUACCGGGUGUAGCGGUGAAAUGCGUAGAUAUGCGGAGGAACACCAGUGGCGAAGGCAGAUUGCUGGACAGUAACUGACGCUGAGGCGCGAAAGCGUGGGGAGCAAACAGGAUUAGAUACCCCAGUAGUC